RNAcentral lists this ribosomal RNA (250 nucleotides) under uncultured bacterium. RNAcentral describes it as "partial 16S ribosomal RNA". It matches the Rfam family "Bacterial small subunit ribosomal RNA", at positions 524 to 773 of the family's 1533-position model. The record is from RNAcentral.
UACGGAGGGUGCAAGCGUUAUUCGGAAUUACUGGGCGUAAAGCGCGUGUAGGCGGUCCUGCAAGUCUGAUGUGAAAGCCCCGGGCUUAACCUGGGAAGUGCAUUGGAAACUGCAGGACUUGAGUACUGGAGAGGAUGGGGGAAUUCCCGGUGUAGAGGUGAAAUUCGUAGAGAUCGGGAGGAAUAUCAGUGGCGAAGGCGCCCAUCUGGACGGUUACUGACGCUGAGACGCGAAAGCGUGGGGAGCAAAC